This 1316-nucleotide ribosomal RNA is filed under the name Staphylococcus capitis. RNAcentral's name for it is "bacterial SSU rRNA". It matches the Rfam family "Bacterial small subunit ribosomal RNA", at positions 56 to 1353 of the family's 1533-position model. The record is from RNAcentral. Lineage: Bacteria; Bacillati; Bacillota; Bacilli; Caryophanales; Staphylococcaceae.
UGCAAGUCGAGCGAACAGACGAGGAGCUUGCUCCUCUGACGUUAGCGGCGGACGGGUGAGUAACACGUGGAUAACCUACCUAUAAGACUGGGAUAACUUCGGGAAACCGGAGCUAAUACCGGAUAACAUGUUGAACCGCAUGGUUCAACAGUGAAAGACGGUCUUGCUGUCACUUAUAGAUGGAUCCGCGCCGCAUUAGCUAGUUGGUAAGGUAACGGCUUACCAAGGCAACGAUGCGUAGCCGACCUGAGAGGGUGAUCGGCCACACUGGAACUGAGACACGGUCCAGACUCCUACGGGAGGCAGCAGUAGGGAAUCUUCCGCAAUGGGCGAAAGCCUGACGGAGCAACGCCGCGUGAGUGAAGAAGGUCUUCGGAUCGUAAAACUCUGUUAUUAGGGAAGAACAAAUGUGUAAGUAACUAUGCACGUCUUGACGGUACCUAAUCAGAAAGCCACGGCUAACUACGUGCCAGCAGCCGCGGUAAUACGUAGGUGGCAAGCGUUAUCCGGAAUUAUUGGGCGUAAAGCGCGCGUAGGCGGUUUUUUAAGUCUGAUGUGAAAGCCCACGGCUCAACCGUGGAGGGUCAUUGGAAACUGGAAAACUUGAGUGCAGAAGAGGAAAGUGGAAUUCCAUGUGUAGCGGUGAAAUGCGCAGAGAUAUGGAGGAACACCAGUGGCGAAGGCGACUUUCUGGUCUGUAACUGACGCUGAUGUGCGAAAGCGUGGGGAUCAAACAGGAUUAGAUACCCUGGUAGUCCACGCCGUAAACGAUGAGUGCUAAGUGUUAGGGGGUUUCCGCCCCUUAGUGCUGCAGCUAACGCAUUAAGCACUCCGCCUGGGGAGUACGACCGCAAGGUUGAAACUCAAAGGAAUUGACGGGGACCCGCACAAGCGGUGGAGCAUGUGGUUUAAUUCGAAGCAACGCGAAGAACCUUACCAAAUCUUGACAUCCUCUGACCCCUCUAGAGAUAGAGUUUUCCCCUUCGGGGGACAGAGUGACAGGUGGUGCAUGGUUGUCGUCAGCUCGUGUCGUGAGAUGUUGGGUUAAGUCCCGCAACGAGCGCAACCCUUAAGCUUAGUUGCCAUCAUUAAGUUGGGCACUCUAAGUUGACUGCCGGUGACAAACCGGAGGAAGGUGGGGAUGACGUCAAAUCAUCAUGCCCCUUAUGAUUUGGGCUACACACGUGCUACAAUGGACAAUACAAAGGGUAGCGAAACCGCGAGGUCAAGCAAAUCCCAUAAAGUUGUUCUCAGUUCGGAUUGUAGUCUGCAACUCGACUACAUGAAGCUGGAAUCGCUAGUAAUCGUAGAUCAGC